RNA transcript from Gambusia affinis (western mosquitofish), 2971 nucleotides. It is a transcript of the gene named homeobox containing 1 b, with no coding region annotated. The record is from RefSeq and is a predicted model, not a curated record. Lineage: Eukaryota; Metazoa; Chordata; Actinopteri; Cyprinodontiformes; Poeciliidae. The transcript has 11 exons.
CAGUUCCCUCUGCGCUCCUCGAAGGUGUUAGUUGUCAAUAUGGCUGUUGUCAGACAGACAAAGCGGAGAGGCAAAUAAUUCGCCUCUGAUUAGAAAUCCUUGGAAAAGGGUCGUGCAGGGCACUGCCAUCAAACUGCGUUAUAAUUCGGCAGCAGUAAAAGACACCGCUUGGCUUGUGCUUUACUUUUAAAGUUAAAUGGUGAAGUGGACUAUUUGAACCGAGCAGCAGCAGCAGCAGGAUGUCCGACUUCAGUGAGGAGCCGCGCUUCACCAUCGAGCAGAUAGACCUGCUGCAGCGGCUGCGUCGCACCGGCAUGACGAAGCAGGAGAUCCUGCACGCGCUCGACACUCUGGACCGGCUGGACCGGGAGCACGGCGACAAGUUCUGCCGCCGCACCUCUUCCUCCUCGUCCACCUACCUCGUAGGCGGGGCCAACAGCUCCGCUGCCAAAACAACCGCCACAUCCUUCAACAAUAACGCCACUGCCUCGGCAACAACCACCACCACCUCCUCCUCCUCGGCGACGUGCAACGGCGGCGAAGGCGGCGACCACUCCUCCUCCUCCUCCUCCCUCGUCGUGGUCGCCGCCGCCGUCGCCUCGUCCACCACCUCCAAAAUCUCCACGGCCACGCAAACGCAGUUCAACAACAGCGGCGGGGGGCUGUCCCCGUCGCCCAGCAACAGCUACGACACGUCCCCGCCCUCGGCCGUGCUGCCGUCGCCCGUGGCGCUGGUGGCGCUGUCGCAGAACGGACGGGACAGCCUGGCCGCCACGCCCAACGGGAAGCUGUCCCCGCCUCGCUACCCGGUGAACAGCGCGGCGGCGUCCAGGGCGUUCGGCUUCGAAACCGCAGAGGAAGACUUGGACGUGGACGACAAGGUGGAGGAGCUGAUGAGACGGGACAGCAGUCUGGUCAAAGAGGAGAUCAAAGCUUUCCUGGGGAACCGGAGGAUUUCUCAGGCUGUCGUGGCUCAAGUGACCGGCAUCAGUCAGAGCAGGAUCUCCCAUUGGCUGCUGCAGCACGGCUCCGACCUGAGCGAGCAGAAGAAGAGGGCUUUCUACCGCUGGUACAUCCUGGAGAAAACCACGCCAGGUGCCACUCUGAACAUGCGGCCAGCACCGCUGCCUCUGGAGGAGAUGGAGUGGAGGCAAACCCCGCCGCCCCUCGCCACCGCCCCCGGGACCUUCCGACUGCGUCGGGGAAGCCGCUUCACCUGGAGGAAGGAGUGCCUGGCUGUGAUGGAGAGCUACUUCAAUGACAACCAGUACCCAGAUGAAGCCAAAAGAGAGGAGAUAGCCAACGCCUGCAAUGCUGUUAUUCAGAAACCAGGGAAGAAGCUGUCUGAUCUGGAGAGGGUGACCUCCCUGAAAGUCUACAACUGGUUCGCUAACCGGCGCAAGGAGAUCAAGAGACGAGCUAAUAUCGAAGCAACAAUCCUGGAGAGUCAUGGGAUAGACGUUCAGAGUCCAGGUGGACACUCCAACAGCGACGACAUCGAUGGGAAUGACUUUGCAGAGCAGGCCUGCGACCUGCCCUACUUCGACAAGAGACCUCUCAGCCGACCGUUUGGCCUUUACCGCCUGGAGCCCACCUCACCUACACAGGACGACAGUGCAGCUCACAACGAGCAUCAGGACCCCAUCUCUCUGGCCGUGGAGAUGGCCGCCGUCAACCACACCAUCUUGGCGCUGUCCAGAACCGGAGGCGUGCCCAACGACAUCAAGACCGAGUCCCUGGAGGAUGAAUGAGGCGCUCAGGAACAAAGCCCAGUCGAGACGGGGGACGACAGGGAGCGUUUAAAAAGACAGAGCAAAAAAAAGAAAAGACCAAAAUAAUCCGACUUAGUAAAAUCGUCUCCGCUCCUCCCAGAACUUCCAUGUAAAACAAUGAUUACCCCCACCUCUCCUUCCUCUCCCCCCACUAUUUUACUCACUAUACUGACCCAGCUGGCGGACAUUGCUACUGUAGGCUUUGUGACAGAAGCAGCAGCAGCCGGUUGUGAACCUCCCGCCUAACGGCGGCUCCUCUCUGGGACCGGGUCUCCCAGGAACUCCUCUCCCUUCCCAAAACAGGAUACCUCUUCUUCUUCUUCUUCUUCAGUUUUUCUCUCCUCUUCCUUCCCCCAGCAGCCUGGUCGUCUGAGCCGAUCCUCAGUCUCACCUCAACCUCAGAAAAACUAAACGACGCACUGUGUAUAUAUAAUAAACUUCUAAAGGUUCUCAGUCACCCUCACCUCAUGACAUACUACCUACACCCUCAGAUUCACCUCUUCGCAGUGCAGAGCAUCAGAAGAGGAGCCGUCCGCUGAUGAAGAGCGCCUCCUCCUCUUCCUGUCCGGCUGCGAGGCGGUCGUUCGGGGAUCGUUUGACCCCGGCGCAGGUCCGGCCAGUCUCUACCGAAGUUCUGCUUUCCUUUCCCUCGCAGUCGCGCUGCUGCAUUCGAUCGACGCCAAACCAACUUUGCAAAAUGUCUGUUAAGAAGUAGCCUUACCUCCCCACUGCUGGUUGUUCAUAUCCCACCGUUCCAAAGCGCACAAACAAAAUCUGCACAGUUCAAGUUACUACCCAACAACAGCAGCUGCAGCAGGGUUUUUUUUUUUUGUUUUUGGUUUUUUUUUCCUCCCUAGUCUCUGGUGUUAAACUCCCCUUGGAGUCGUUGAGGAUGAAUCAACCUCCCUAAGAUGUCCAGUAAGGGAACAGUUGCUUUGUUUUCCAUGCCAUCCAUGCCAAAGGAAGUGGCUCUGUGCUGAGUGAACCCAAAGCGAUCUCUUAACUCCUUUGGUGUCGAUUCCUCCUCGGUGUUCAGUGAAGCCUCUCCAGCUGCAGUAGGGUCGACACUACAGCAGGCCUGUGUCUGGACUGCAUUUGGCUGUCCUCCAUUGUCCGACUGAGCAACAGUUUCAUGAAAAGGCCAACAAAGAUGCACCUUAUGAAAAGUAUUGAUGAGUAAGCUUGAGCUGUAACCUCCA